RNAcentral lists this ribosomal RNA (253 nucleotides) under uncultured bacterium. RNAcentral describes it as "partial 16S ribosomal RNA". It matches the Rfam family "Bacterial small subunit ribosomal RNA", at positions 524 to 776 of the family's 1533-position model. The record is from RNAcentral.
UACAGAGGUCCCAAGCGUUGUUCGGAUUCAUUGGGCGUAAAGGGUGCGUAGGCGGCGCGGUAAGUCGGGUGUGAAAUCUCGGAGCUUAACUCCGAAACUGCAUUCGAUACUGCCGUGCUUGAGGACUGGAGAGGAGACUGGAAUUUACGGUGUAGAGGUGAAAUUCGUAGAUAUUCGCAAGAACACCAGUGGCGAAGGCGGCUCACUGGCCCGAUACUGACGCUAAGGCACGAAAGCGUGGGGAGCAAACAGG